CAUUGUGACACCCUUUCUGUCCGUUCGCGUGACGCUUUUUCUCGACUUUAGCCUUGCCUGUCGAAAGCAAUCCGUUAGCAUCCGGCCACUUCCUGCUUCCUAGCUCUCCGCCGCUAAGCAUUUCAACGCCUCGGUGCUCAGCAGAACGCGCACCAUUAGUCUCCCAGGAGCCUGAAGAUGAAGGUUACUUCACAAACUAUUUCCGACUAAAUGACGCGACUCUCGAUGAGUGGUUCCCUUGAUUUCUCUAUUCUACAGUCCACCCCUGCAUCCGAUUAGUACCUCAUGUGGUCAUCAUCAUGUUUGCCGGAAAUUCUCGCCAGCCCCAUACAUUAGAACCUAUCUUGCACACCCUUCUGUAGAACGAAAACCGAAUGAACCAUCGAACACCAUCACAGCGACCGCGUGACAGAAGUAGUCGAGAAUGCACUCAGGGAAAAAGGCAUUCAUAUUCUGCAAACUGGCUACCGACACCGGCAAGGGGGGCACGUUUCCAUGGCUGCGGAGGGAUAUGGGCGAAAACUAAAUCUAACACUCAAACCACACUCUGCAGACUGGCGUCUUGAGGAUUGCUGGCAAGUCCGCUGCUGAGCACCCCUGUCACAAAAUGGCUCUUUCCCCUCCGUGACGAUUAUAUUGAGACUCUCUAUGCCGCUGAAAGGCUUGCGCUCGAAGCUCGCAGGAGCGGCCUUCUGCCACUGACCACUCUCAGAAACAGUGUGGAACACUUACAUCCGCUUCUUGAGCUCUCAG
Molecule: unclassified non-coding RNA, 753 nt
Filed under: Leishmania donovani
Lineage: Eukaryota; Euglenozoa; Kinetoplastea; Trypanosomatida; Trypanosomatidae
Description: gene:unknown
Source: RNAcentral